Molecule: ribosomal RNA, 696 nt
Filed under: uncultured bacterium
Lineage: Bacteria
Description: bacterial SSU rRNA
Rfam family: Bacterial small subunit ribosomal RNA
Source: RNAcentral
GAGUUUGAUCCUGGCUCAGAUUGAACGCUGGCGGCAGGCCUAACACAUGCAAGUCGAACGGUAACAGGAAGAAGCUUGCUUCUUUGCUGACGAGUGGCGGACGGGUGAGUAAUGUCUGGGAAACUGCCUGAUGGAGGGGGAUAACUACUGGAAACGGUAGCUAAUACCGCAUAACGUCGCAAGACCAAAGAGGGGGACCUUCGGGCCUCUUGCCAUCGGAUGUGCCCAGAUGGGAUUAGCUAGUAGGUGGGGUAACGGCUCACCUAGGCGACGAUCCCUAGCUGGUCUGAGAGGAUGACCAGCCACACUGGAACUGAGACACGGUCCAGACUCCUACGGGAGGCAGCAGUGGGGAAUAUUGCACAAUGGGCGCAAGCCUGAUGCAGCCAUGCCGCGUGUAUGAAGAAGGCCUUCGGGUUGUAAAGUACUUUCAGCGGGGAGGAAGGGAGCAAAGUUAAUACCUUUGCUCAUUGACGUUACCCGCAGAAGAAGCACCGGCUAACUCCGUGCCAGCAGCCGCGGUAAUACGGAGGGUGCAAGCGUUAAUCGGAAUUACUGGGCGUAAAGCGCACGCAGGCGGUUUGUUAAGUCAGAUGUGAAAUCCCCGGGCUCAACCUGGGAACUGCAUCUGAUACUGGCAAGCCUGAGUCUCGUAGAGGGGGGUAGAAUUCCAGGUGUAGCGGUGAAAUGCGUAGA